UUACUUUAGUUUCUCCCAGUGAUUUUUCUAAUCCUCGAAGGGCAUAAAGUCACUCAUCUGCUUGUCUAAAAAAGGAAAUGGAAAAGAGAGCUAUCUUAGACUGCUUUGGUUUUUCUUAAUUUGGUCACUGGACCUUAAUGGAUUAUUCGGCAGAGUAUGUAUUUACUGUAUUAAGCAAAAUAAUUUAUCAAGAAUUCAAGAUGCAGGUUGAGGUUUGUAUCACGUUUCAUCUCUGUCCCAUCCAUGGAGAGGAGUUUCCAAGGACUUCUUGGACCUACUUGUUUUCGCUUUUCUAUUUGUGAGCCCUUCUUGUAUUGGUUUGAACAAAAUGUUUUGGAUCUUCUUGAUAGCAUACUCUCAAGCAUCAUUUGGCACAAGUCUGCACUCUUCCAUCUCUCGGCCACAAUGUAUUGACUUGAGUGCAUUUAAUAGAACAUUUGUACUUCUUUUCACAUAGACGGAUGAUUAUGCUCCAUUCAUUUAUCUGUCUGGCUCGAUAUUUAUCUUUAUAUGCAGUACAUUUUUGCCUUACGUGCUUGCAUUAUGAAAUUAAUGCUCUUAAUAAUCGUUUCCUAGCUAUUGCAUUCCUGGUGAUGUACUCGCCUGCGUCGAUCUGAAGCUUGUGGAGCACGGGGACAAGGUGAGGGCGGAGAUGUGAUUCGUCAGGAGGUGGGAUGCGCUGUGGUCGGUACGGGUCGCAUGUGCGCUGGGGCUGUUGCCCUCUCAUGACUCAUCAGAGCUAACCUCGUGCCCGCGCCGGCUGUUGAUGGAGCCGUCGCAGUAGGGAUGCCUGUGCUCGCCGACCACUAGCGCUCCGUCGUGGUGCUCAGCCUCUGGAACUGCAACCCGAUGGAGGUUAGCAAUGAUAUAAAGAGACAAAAGAAAGGCCUGAAAGCAGAUGAAGUGAAAAAUUGAGAGGCUUGUCAGCUCGAAUUGGGAGCCACUUCCUCUGGUCAACAGAACGCAGAGUAAUCAUGAAGGAUUUGGUAGUGAAAAGGCUAAAGAUGAAAUAUUCAUGGCCCGCUAAUACUAUCCAAGCAUUGCCAAACUGCAAGGACAGGAGGCACUUACUCAGGAAAUGAAGCAAGAUAUACAAGUCCAUGAGAGGGUUCUCAGUGCAUUUGCUAUUCAUGUUGAUCUACCAUCCUUAAUAUGCAUACACCAUGAUUGACAAUGCCUUGAUCCCCAUUGGGCUGCAAGCCUGCAAGUCUACUGCUUUGAUGUUCAUUUAGUUAGUUUGAAAUGCUGGCUGUAGAUCAAGAUCUCCGGCAGCGGGCACCAUCUCAAGCCAUUGGACUGGCGAGGAAUAGUUAUAGCGGGAGGGUUUAAAGAACUCGACAGAUCGUUCUUUCGCACUCACAAACCACAUGCUACCAUGGACUCAUUUUCAGAUCAUGAUGUGGAGCUUGAGGUGUAGGAGCUGGCGCUGGUAGGAGUGUCCACCUCCUAUAAGAUGACAAAGAUGGAGAGGAAGCAGGAGUGUUGGCGUAGGAGCAGCAGAUGUGGGCGCAGUGCCAGCAGGGCAGGAUGCAGGGGCAGGACGAUCUCAAUGGGCUCGCCAUCAAUGGCAGCGGAUGCCCAUGCCCAUGGUGCACCAUGCAGCCGACGGGUACUAUUACUAGCGCCUCCUCAAGCUAAGCGACUUGUUCUCGUUCCCGUCUCUCUUCCUUGUUGAGCUUUUAUCUGUGAAUGAUACUCUGAUCAUCAUUUGCCACGAAGAAAUUGUAAUUCGAAUUGAGAUUGAGAAUUUGAAAACGGUCGUA
Molecule: long non-coding RNA, 1763 nt
Organism: Triticum aestivum (bread wheat)
Lineage: Eukaryota; Viridiplantae; Streptophyta; Magnoliopsida; Poales; Poaceae
Exons: 5
Source: RefSeq, a predicted model, not a curated record